AUUGAACGCUGGCGGCAGGCCUAACACAUGCAAGUCGAGCGGAUGAGGGAAGCUUGCUUCCCGAUUUAGCGGCGGACGGGUGAGUAAUGCCUAGGAAUCUGCCUAUUAGUGGGGGAUAACGUUCCGAAAGGAACGCUAAUACCGCAUACGUCCUACGGGAGAAAGUGGGGGAUCUUCGGACCUCACGCUAAUAGAUGAGCCUAGGUCGGAUUAGCUAGUUGGUGAGGUAACGGCUCACCAAGGCGACGAUCCGUAGCUGGUCUGAGAGGAUGAUCAGCCACACUGGAACUGAGACACGGUCCAGACUCCUACGGGAGGCAGCAGUGGGGAAUAUUGGACAAUGGGCGAAAGCCUGAUCCAGCCAUGCCGCGUGUGUGAAGAAGGUCUUCGGAUUGUAAAGCACUUUAAGUUGGGAGGAAGAGUUGUAAGCUAAUAUCUUGCAGCUUUGACGUUACCAACAGAAUAAGCACCGGCUAACUCUGUGCCAGCCGCCGCCGUAA
This 500-nucleotide ribosomal RNA is filed under the name uncultured bacterium. Its description in RNAcentral is "partial 16S ribosomal RNA". It matches the Rfam family "Bacterial small subunit ribosomal RNA", at positions 30 to 523 of the family's 1533-position model. The record is from RNAcentral.